Molecule: ribosomal RNA, 220 nt
Filed under: uncultured bacterium
Lineage: Bacteria
Description: partial 16S ribosomal RNA
Rfam family: Bacterial small subunit ribosomal RNA
Source: RNAcentral
UGAGGAACAUGACCUUCGGCGGGGGAGUAGCCGGCCCAACGGCCGGGUAAUACCGCGUACGACCACAUGGGGACAUCCCUGAGUGGUGAAAGCAGCAAUGCGCCGAUGGAGUGCCUCGCGGCCUAUCAGCUAGUUGGUGAGGUAACGGCUCACCAAGGCGACGACGGGUAGCUGGUCUGAGAGGAUGGCCAGCCACAUUGGGACUGAGACACGGCCCAGA